Small nuclear RNA from Cervus hanglu yarkandensis (Yarkand deer), 105 nucleotides. NCBI's taxonomy places the organism in Eukaryota, Metazoa, Chordata, Mammalia, Artiodactyla, Cervidae. The record is from Ensembl.
GUGCUCGCUUCGGCAGCACAUACACUAAAAAUUGGAGCAAUACAGAGAUUAGCACGGCCCCUGCACAAGGACGACACGCAAAUUCGUUAAGCGUUCCAUAUUUUU